UUCGGUAUCCUGUGUUGCUUACCUAUCGAAAGGAAUCCGAUGGUUUCGUUCGUCCCUUUCCGCCCCCCGCCCUCGCGGGUUGUGGGGUGGACAUCAGGCAAGCCUCGUGUUCCCGGCACGCUUCGCCCAGCUGCGUCGCUGCCUCGGCCCAUGAGGUGCAUUGCCCGUGCUCUCGGAUGCGGAAUGUUAUGUGCGGGUGCGGGGUCUAUUUAUUAGCUCCGUUUGCCCAAGCAACGCAUUUGUCCAUCGACACGAACGACUGCCGUGCCCGUCUUGAGCCCGCGGCCGUACGGCCUGCCGGGUCUCAUGCGGGCGUCGG
Molecule: unclassified non-coding RNA, 319 nt
Filed under: Bursera altijuga
Lineage: Eukaryota; Viridiplantae; Streptophyta; Magnoliopsida; Sapindales; Burseraceae
Description: partial external transcribed spacer
Source: RNAcentral